RNAcentral lists this ribosomal RNA (492 nucleotides) under uncultured bacterium. RNAcentral describes it as "partial 16S ribosomal RNA". It matches the Rfam family "Bacterial small subunit ribosomal RNA", at positions 29 to 507 of the family's 1533-position model. The record is from RNAcentral.
AGUGAACGCUGGCGGUAGGCCUAACACAUGCAAGUCGAACGGCAGCACAGUAAGAGCUUGCUCUUACGGGUGGCGAGUGGCGGACGGGUGAGGAAUACAUCGGAAUCUACUUUUUCGUGGGGGAUAACGUAGGGAAACUUACGCUAAUACCGCAUACGACCUACGGGUGAAAGCAGGGGAUCCUCGGACCUCGCGCGAUUGAAUGAGCCGAUGUCGGAUUAGCUAGUUGGCGGGGUAAAGGCCCACCAAGGCGACGAUCCGUAGCUGGUCUGAGAGGAUGAUCAGCCACACUGGAACUGAGACACGGUCCAGACUCCUACGGGAGGCAGCAGUGGGGAAUAUUGGACAAUGGGCGCAAGCCUGAUCCAGCCAUACCGCGUGGGUGAAGAAGGCCUUCGGGUUGUAAAGCCCUUUUGUUGGGAAAGAAAAGCAGCAGGUUAAUACCCCGCUGUUCUGACGGUACCCAAAGAAUAAGCACCGGCUAACUUCGUG